This 254-nucleotide ribosomal RNA is filed under the name uncultured bacterium. RNAcentral describes it as "partial 16S ribosomal RNA". It matches the Rfam family "Bacterial small subunit ribosomal RNA", at positions 524 to 776 of the family's 1533-position model. The record is from RNAcentral.
CACGUAGGGGCCAAGCGUUGUCCGGAUUUAUUGGGCGUAAAGAGCUCGUAGGCGGCUCGGUAAGUCAGGUGUGAAACCUCCAGGCUCAACCUGGAGACGCCACCCGAUACUGCUGUGGCUAGAGUCCGGUAGGGGAGCGUGGAAUUCCUGGUGUAGCGGUGAAAUGCGCAGAUAUCAGGAGGAACACCAGCGGCGAAGGCGGCGCUCUGGGCCGGAACUGACGCUGAGGAGCGAAAGCGUGGGUAGCAAACAGG